GACGAACGCUGGCGGCGUGCUUAACACAUGCAAGUCGAACGGAAAGGCCCUGCUUUUGUGGGGUGCUCGAGUGGCGAACGGGUGAGUAACACGUGAGUAACCUGCCCUUGACUUUGGGAUAACUUCAGGAAACUGGGGCUAAUACCGGAUAGGAGCUCCUGCUGCAUGGUGGGGGUUGGAAAGUUUCGGCGGUUGGGGAUGGACUCGCGGCUUAUCAGCUUGUUGGUGGUGUAGUGGCUUACCAAGGCUUUGGCGGGUAGCCGGCCUGAGAGGGUGACCGGCCACAUUGGGACUGAGAGACGGCCCAGACUCCUACGGGAGGCAGCAGUGGGGAAUAUUGCACAAUGGGCGGAAGCCUGAUGCAGCAACGCCGCGUGCGGGAUGACGGCCUUCGGGUUGUAAACCGCUUUCGCCUGUGACGAAGCGUGAGUGACGGUAAUGGGUAAAGAAGCACCGGCUAACUACGUG
Molecule: ribosomal RNA, 468 nt
Filed under: uncultured bacterium
Lineage: Bacteria
Description: partial 16S ribosomal RNA
Rfam family: Bacterial small subunit ribosomal RNA
Source: RNAcentral